This 481-nucleotide ribosomal RNA is filed under the name uncultured bacterium. RNAcentral's name for it is "partial 16S ribosomal RNA". It matches the Rfam family "Bacterial small subunit ribosomal RNA", at positions 28 to 507 of the family's 1533-position model. The record is from RNAcentral.
GAUGAACGCUGGCGGCGUGCUUAACACAUGCAAGUCGAACGAAGCACUUUAUUUGAUUUCCUUCGGGACUGAUUAUUUUGUGACUGAGUGGCGGACGGGUGAGUAACGCGUGGGUAACCUGCCUUGUACAGGGGGAUAACAGUUGGAAACGGCUGCUAAUACCGCAUAAGCGCCCAGCAUCGCAUGAUGCAGUGUGAAAAACUCCGGUGGUAUAAGAUGGACCCGCGUUGGAUUAGCUAGUUGGUGAGGUAACGGCCCACCAAGGCGACGAUCCAUAGCCGACCUGAGAGGGGGACCGGCCACAUUGGGACUGAGACACGGACCAAACUCCUACGGGAGGCAGCAGUGGGGAAUAUUGCACAGUGGGCGAAAGCCUGAUGCAGCGACGCCGCGUGAGCGAAGAAGUAUUUCGGUAUGUAAAGCUCUAUCAGCAGGGAAGAUAAUGACGGUACCUGACUAAGAAGCACCGGCUAAAUACGUG